Molecule: ribosomal RNA, 216 nt
Filed under: Glomeromycotina sp.
Lineage: Eukaryota; Fungi; Glomeromycota
Description: partial small subunit ribosomal RNA
Rfam family: Eukaryotic small subunit ribosomal RNA (bases 40-216)
Source: RNAcentral
GGGUCAGUAGGUUGGUCGUGCCACCGGUACGUACUGGUCUCACUGAUUCCUCCUUCCUGAAGAACCGUAAUGCCAUUAAUUUGGUGUCGCGGGGAAACAGGACUGUUACUUUGAAAAAAUUAGAGUGUUUGAAGCAAGCUAACGCUUGAAUACAUUAGCAUGGAAUAAUGAAAUAGGACGAUCGAUCCUAUUUUGUUGGUUUCUAGGAUUGACGUA